This 275-nucleotide ribosomal RNA is filed under the name uncultured bacterium. RNAcentral describes it as "partial 16S ribosomal RNA". It matches the Rfam family "Bacterial small subunit ribosomal RNA", at positions 79 to 354 of the family's 1533-position model. The record is from RNAcentral.
CUUUCUCCGCCGGCGACCGGCGCACGGGUGAGUAACACGUAUGCAACCUGCCCCUGUCAGGGGACAACCCGCCGAAAGGCGGGCUAAACCCGCGUACAUGCCACCGGGGCAUCCCGGAGGCAGGAAAGGCUUCGGCCGGACAGGGAUGGGCAUGCGGCGCAUUAGGCAGUAGGCGGGGUAACGGCCCACCUAACCGACGAUGCGUAGGGGUUCUGAGAGGAAGGUCCCCCACACUGGUACUGAGACACGGACCAGACUCCUACGGGAGGCAGCAG